UACGUAGGGCGCAAGCGUUGUCCGGAAUUAUUGGGCGUAAAGAGCUCGUAGGCGGCUUGUCACGUCGGGUGUGAAAGCCCGGGGCUUAACCCCGGGUCUGCAUUCGAUACGGGCAGGCUAGAGUGUGGUAGGGGAGAUCGGAAUUCCUGGUGUAGCGGUGAAAUGCGCAGAUAUCAGGAGGAACACCGGUGGCGAAGGCGGAUCUCUGGGCCUGUCCUGACGCUCAGGCGCGAAAGCUAGGGGAGCAAACAGG
RNAcentral lists this ribosomal RNA (253 nucleotides) under uncultured bacterium. RNAcentral's name for it is "partial 16S ribosomal RNA". It matches the Rfam family "Bacterial small subunit ribosomal RNA", at positions 524 to 776 of the family's 1533-position model. The record is from RNAcentral.